This is a long non-coding RNA of Lagopus leucura (white-tailed ptarmigan), 1151 nucleotides long. RefSeq lists it as uncharacterized. The record is from RefSeq and is a predicted model, not a curated record. The transcript is spliced from 3 exons. Lineage: Eukaryota; Metazoa; Chordata; Aves; Galliformes; Phasianidae.
AAAUUUGAGCCCUGGAUAAAGGUCACUUCAUGUCUAAAUGGUCCAGAAUCUGUUCAGUGUCUCUGAGGUCUGUAGGCAUGGCGCAGGUCACAGCCGAACAUCUGUGUCCUUCUCAGCUGUCUUUCAGAGCAGGUUUGCCAUAUCCACGCUCUGUUGGAGGUAGUCCUGAACCUCCACUCAUUGCCAAAGUGGGCCUGAAAAAUAUUUUAAGAGCAUGUGACAGACGUAGGCAGCUGUGGGACACCUGGCACAAUUUAGGUUACUUGUGUAGGUGUAGCCUGACACAUUCCCUUGCAGAGAGGAUAAAGUUGAACUGGGAUGAAAAAAAAAAAGAGUAAACUGGGACAAAAAGAGUACAGGGAGAAGCUGAAAAGGAGGCUGAUCUGGGACUGAGAUUGGAGGGCAGUGAGUGAAAUGGGAGACAGAGCGCUGAGACUGCAUGAGGAAUGGGGUGGAACAGCAUUGGACUCAGCAAAAAAAUACAAGAUCAAGGGAAUGGCUAAGAAGACAGAUCAAUUAAGGACAGAAAAAGAAACGUUGCUAAUGAGGGAAGGGGAAGCUGAAGGGGUUCGCUAAGCCAAGUCCUCCACAAGAAUAAGGUUAGGACAGAAAUUUCACAGUUUAAAGCAAGUUGGGACUGUGGAUAGGAUACAGCAAUAUUCAGAGUCUGGGCUGGAACCCAGGAUCCCUUUCUAAGUGUUUCUCUGUUGUUAUUUAACCUUCACAAAAUCCUUUGGCAAAUUAUAUCUCAUCUUUGUGUGCCAGUCCUUAACUGGCUGCCAGUAUCAGUUAUUCUUCCAGCCCUGGUCACUGCAGUCUGCUCCAGUUCUGAACAGCAUUAAGGAGCAAUGGAAUCUUUAACAAAGAUGCAGGAGACUAUACAAACCAAACUUCAGUAAAAGAUGGCUUUUCCGAAUUAGAAACCCAGCUGAGACAGGAGACAGGAGCUGAAGGUACAGACUUCCAGCAGGUAUUUCCCUGGCCUAAAGAAAACAAAGAACAUUUUUUCCAGUUCCCUCUUUUUUGGAGAAGUCUUCCAGGUACCAGCACACUUUUCCAGGUAACAGUCAAUCAAUUUGUAAGUUGUCUAUCUGCCAGAUUCUUAUACUAGAUACGUAAUACACAUGCAGCCUUAGUAUAUGCAAAUUCAU